GCCAACCCAGGGAAGCUCAGGUGAAUGCAAUGUACCUGAGUGCCCAGAAGGGGUGUAGCCAGGAUCUACCUCUUCCCAGACCUCAUUUAAGGGUCAUUGGCAGUGGAAGCAAGGGUACCUUGCUGGAGAUCCCUGCCUACCUUAGGCCUUUUGAAGCCUUUCAGUUUCAUUAAGUUAAUAGCCUUCAUCAAGGGCCCAGGCCGGAUGCUUGCAGUUGAUUUAAAACCUGUGAAUUCAUCAAUCUUAAACUGCACUUCAAGCAAAGCAAAGAAAUCUUUGCUGUUCUUUAGAGACUUCUGGGAUUCUUCUUUGACACUGAACUUCUAUGGAGUUUCAAUCCUGGGCCCAGGAGCAAACAAGAUCCAAGAGAAACCUGGGACAGUGCCAAGCAUACCAACAACAUAAAAUGCAUGCUUUUUGAUUGGACUCGGGCCCUUGUACUGUCACAUUUGGGUCAGCAGUCCAAAUCAAGAGGAUGUGCUUCUGCUGAUGAGCUCUGCCCUAAUUUGACUGAGAGCGAUCGUUUCUGACUUCUUGAGUUCUGCAAGUCCCUAUGCCUAACUGGAUCACUGAGACAGAGCUCACUUCUUGCAGCCCAGCAAAGUCCUUCCUGUCAACUCUGAGCCAUUUCAGUACUCGUGCAGAAGCUUGAACUGCCACUAACAAUAACAGGAAUAUUAAAGAAGACA
This is a non-coding RNA of Meleagris gallopavo (turkey), 689 nucleotides long. The record is from RefSeq and is a predicted model, not a curated record. Lineage: Eukaryota; Metazoa; Chordata; Aves; Galliformes; Phasianidae.